UCGAGUUCGGUCCGCUUUUACGUUUCUUCUCUCGGAAGUGCUUGCUGUGUGAUGCGGUUCGUGAGUUUUCUUUUUGGGAAUUUGACCUCUGGUUUUAGUGGCUUUUUUGGCAAUAAAAUGCUAAAAUUUGUCGUUGUUUUUGUUUGUCUCUAGUGGAGUUGUACUUGACGGUAAAAAUGGAGUGUGAGUCGGUGGGAAUCUGACGAAAAAAAGGUGGUUUUGUGGCACUGAAAGCUGCGGAUGUUCCCCCAAUGCGGUAGCGACGAGCUUGGCGUGGUUUUCGGCUCUCUGAUCAAAGAAUCGUAGCUUCAGUGAAUAUGGUUGUGUUUCGUGCUUGCCGGGUGAAAAGCGAACGAAUUUCAAAUUGUGGAUUGAUUUAGGAAUCGAACUGUUCAAAAUCAUGCCUAGAAUCGUAGUUGGCCGUGUAGGCUGACCUAGAAACGCUUUUCGGCUUCGAAGAGGUUUGCCGCUGGUUACUACGAUGGAAGCAAUACGGAGAGAAAAACGUGCUUUUUCACGAAAGCUAAUCCACCUCUUCGGCUGGGAAGCAAAAUGGUGCGCUGUUUCGCGGUAUAUUCUUGUGGCUUGAUGCAUUUGAAAGAUGUCAAAUCACAGGAGUAUACUGUGAGAGAUCGCGGAAACCGGCUCGUGAUUGGAAUGUCGAGAAAUCCUUCCUUUUAAACAACAGAUCAUAGAGCGUUUCCGGAAGUUGAAAUUAUUCUACUUUAGACGAUGACGAUCAGAAUGGGCACAAACACACUGACAGGUCAAGUACGCAUUGGAUUUGGAUGAUGAUGCCGCACGGAAAGACCGUUGGAAGAAAGAGAACGCACUACAUCUGCUGUGUGAAACACGUGUUGUGGCAAAUGGCGGGAUUUUCAAAUAGCAACAAGGGUGAUCCUCUUCAGUUGCGUUCAAAAUAGGUCAAAAUGUCUACGAUCAUGAGAUUUGAUUUUCACAAUAUCAAAGUCAUGGAAAUUGUACACAAAGAUUGUUUAAACUUUAUUUUUAAAGAUUGCAUGCAAAUUAGGGAUAACGGGUAUAAUUGUUUUCAACCACCUUAUUACAAGCAUAAUUUUUCAUAACGACUUAUCGAGCAAUUAUUAGGAUUCAAGACAUCCUUUGAGAAAGUUGGCAAACGUUUUCCUUAAACGGUUUAAAAACUAAACCAUUAUUUCAAUCGUUUUUAAACUAGUAUCAUUGCUAAAUCAAAUUCAAAUUCCAUACAAAAAAUGCAGAAACUACACACCCGGUAUGGUGUAGAUUGGUUGGUUUUUCACACUGCAUGUUUGACGAAACUUCGGUUUUGUUUUUUUUUGCAUUUUUUUUAGAAAUGUUGCUCUGAUUUCCCAUUUGUUAAAGCAACGUAUCUAGCAGUGAGGCUUCAAACAUUGAGAUUUCUAGAUACGUUGAUACAUAACAUUAUUUAAAAAAAAAAAAAUAAGAUCUAAAAAAGUCGCGUGUAAUGAUCAUGUUAUAUUAAAAACCUCGUAUUGUUCACUUUUGUAGUUAGGGCAGAAAAAAGGACUUGGUUUACUUUAAUAAAUUCUCGUUUCAUGGGAUUGACCAUGAAAAUGUAAAACAACCAUUUCUUUCUUGUCAACUGGUGUGUAGUGAAAGCAUCGUUCCUUACAUUAUUGCAUCAGUCGAACAAAAAAGUCGAAGGUUGUAUCUAAUAAAUACACGAGUAGGCUGGCGCACCUCUGGGCCAGUUGUAUAAAAUCUUAGAGAGUACUAAUCGAUUAAUACCAAAAUCUCCAGAAUCCGUUGAAAAAUGGCUGAGUUAUUGACUCUUACUUUCUGACCUCUUUUCGUGACGGUUCCGAAUUUGAAACAUUGAAAUAACCCCCCUAUCAAAAGAGGUAUUUCUACGUCAGAACGCUACAGUAUUUAUUAUUUAUUUCUAAGCGUUUUUACGGAAAUUCUACAAGAUAACAAAUAUUCUGCCAUUUACUUCACUGAUUUUUCAUGACUUGAGUUACUGUGACGGUCCCUUCGAACAGUUUCCCGAGAAUUUCAUGUUCAUUAUUAUAAAGUGUAAAGUGUUUGUAGGUCAAACCACGGUUCUAAGAUUGAUUAGGCUCAUUAUUUGUCAGUAGGCAUAAAAUAGCUUGAACUUCCAACAAAAAAAUGUUGGAAAUAAUUAUAAAGACGUGCAAAGUAAAAAAGAAGAAUAAAUUGAUGAAAAGCUAAAUUUUCUGUUGUCAACUAGAUUUUAACUAUUAUUUCUGAUGUGAGAGAAAGACAAAACACUAUAAAAGUUUUUAACUACGAAACGAAACACGCAUCUGUGAUGCAAAUAAUUGUAUUUGAAGAAAUUGGUAGAAACAAAUCGAAUCUUUGAUUUGGUUAUGAUAGUUUUUAAAUUACGUUCUUCAUAUUCAUUUCUAUUUCGUUUUCUGUGUAUUGAGUAAAAGUAGACUUCAAAAGAGACUGUGGUCGCUUCUUACGCAAAUGGAUUUCAUUGGUUUCUUUUUUUUCGAGGGCUACUCAAUGUUUUAUUUAAUCCAAAAGCCAAAAACAAGCAAAUACAAACCGCGUAAAAAUCGACCACAGUGUAUAGCAUCUGACAGCCAAAGCAAUCAUGAAUGAAACCUAUCAAGUAUACAAUUUAAAAGACGGGUUAGAACUAUCUCAUUCAUUUCUACCAUAUACACGAAUUGCGUCCUCAACAGGGAAGAUCAUCUUCAUUGUACGUAAGUUUUCAAUAAAAUUUACACCUUUUUAAUACAAAUAUAU
Long non-coding RNA from Armigeres subalbatus, 2739 nucleotides. RefSeq lists it as uncharacterized. The record is from RefSeq and is a predicted model, not a curated record. NCBI's taxonomy places the organism in Eukaryota, Metazoa, Arthropoda, Insecta, Diptera, Culicidae. The transcript has 3 exons.